GUAUGCCUACGGGGCGCAGCAGUGAGGAAUAUUGGUCAAUGGUCGGGAGACUGAACCAGCCAAGCCGCGUGAGGGAGGAAGGUACAGAGUAUCGUAAACCUCUUUUGUCAGGGAACAAAGACUGGGACGCGUCCCCGGAUGAGUGUACCUGAAGAAAAAGCAUCGGCUAACUCCGUGCCAGCAGCCGCGGUAAUACGGAGGAUGCGAGCGUUAUCCGGAUUUAUUGGGUUUAAAGGGUGCGCAGGCGGUCUGUUAAGUCAGCGGUCAAAGCCCGGGGCUCAACCCCGGCCCGCCGUUGAAACUGG
RNAcentral lists this ribosomal RNA (305 nucleotides) under uncultured bacterium. RNAcentral describes it as "bacterial SSU rRNA". It matches the Rfam family "Bacterial small subunit ribosomal RNA", at positions 333 to 636 of the family's 1533-position model. The record is from RNAcentral.